GACGAACGCUGGCGGCGUGCUUAACACAUGCAAGUCGAACGGAAAGGCCCUGCUUGCAGGGUACUCGAGUGGCGAACGGGUGAGUAACACGUGGGUGAUCUGCCCUGCACUUCGGGAUAAGCCUGGGAAACUGGGUCUAAUACCGGAUAGGAGCCAUUUUUAGUGUGAUGGUUGGAAAGUUUUUUCGGUGUAGGAUGAGCUCGCGGCCUAUCAGCUUGUUGGUGGGGUAAUGGCCUACCAAGGCGGCGACGGGUAGCCGGCCUGAGAGGGUGGACGGCCACAUUGGGACUGCGAUACGGCCCAGACUCCUACGGGAGGCAGCAGUGGGGAAUAUUGCACAAUGGGCGCAAGCCUGAUGCAGCGACGCCGCGUGGGGGAUGACGGCCUUCGGGUUGUAAACUCCUUUCGCUAGGGACGAAGCUUUUGUGACGGUACCUAGAUAAGAAGCACCGGCUAACUACGUG
RNAcentral lists this ribosomal RNA (464 nucleotides) under uncultured bacterium. RNAcentral describes it as "partial 16S ribosomal RNA". It matches the Rfam family "Bacterial small subunit ribosomal RNA", at positions 28 to 507 of the family's 1533-position model. The record is from RNAcentral.